GUUCUUGGGGCUUGUGUGUGUGUCUUAGCAUGUUCAGGCUGCACCCACAACAAUGCACAGAGAGCCAGCAGGCACAGCAAUCAGUUUUUGUUUGCUCGGACUCUGGGUUCUUGGUUUGACUGAUUCUCUCUGUAGCCACCAGAAAGCUACCGGAAGAAUGAGCUUCUUCCAUCACAGUGGGCAGAGCAUCAGAGUCUUGCACAAUACCAUUGGGACAAUUGGGGCACUAGGAGGACACCAAGAAAAACAGUCUGAGAGACUUGGAAUCCACCAGAACACUGCCCGAGCAGCUGUGAACCUAUGUCACUAGGCCUUGAAUGUUAUAGGUGGUAAUCACAGUAAUUUGGACAUCACUGUAACCAGGUGCUUCCUGUUACGUUGGCUGUGUAAAGAGCAAAAGAUACAACAGAGACAAUUAUGGUAGGGGUGUUAGGACUGUGUGCUUUUUGCAGCAGGUAGUUCUGAGUUCUAACAACCAUGAAAUUCUUGGGUGGCCAAGGAUUUGUUGUACUAUAUGUUUAAAACACAAUAAAAUCUGC
Long non-coding RNA from Emys orbicularis (European pond turtle), 539 nucleotides. RefSeq lists it as uncharacterized. NCBI's taxonomy places the organism in Eukaryota, Metazoa, Chordata, Testudines, Emydidae. The transcript has 3 exons. The record is from RefSeq and is a predicted model, not a curated record.